CAACCCUCAAGCUCAGCUUGGUGUUGGACGGCCGGUCGAGCGAUCGACCCCUCCUAAAGACAAUGACGGCGGCCUGCGGUUCCCCCGGUACACUGAGCUUUUCACCGAGCACGUACCGGACCAGGGCACCCGGGACCCGGUCCUCUCCUUUCACUAGGAAACUUCUAU
RNAcentral lists this unclassified non-coding RNA (168 nucleotides) under uncultured Cladophialophora. RNAcentral's name for it is "sequence contains ITS2". The record is from RNAcentral. Lineage: Eukaryota; Fungi; Ascomycota; Eurotiomycetes; Chaetothyriales; Herpotrichiellaceae.